AUUUUCUUUAAUUUUUUGGUUUCAAAAGGAAAAAGGCCACAUUUUAGUGUUUUUUUAAAUUGCUAGGAUGGCAAAAACUUGUGUCGUUUGUGCCGCAUCAUGAUAAAAAGGUGAUUCAAGCCGAUCUUUUCACAAGAUUUCUGAUGCACUGGUUAAAAACACAGCAGCCGAUAAUUCAGUUAAUUUACCAAGUGAUUUACCCUUCAAAGCUGCAAGGGUAGUUUUCCUGAAGAGUGCAAAAACUUCUUUAGCUUCCAAAAUGGUAUAUAGUACAAACAGUGAAGCUAAUAUAGACAAAUCUGAUCAUUCAUCAUCAACAAUAACUGCAUCUGAGAUUAAUAGUUACUGUGGGGUCUAGGUCAACAAUUACUAUUUCCCAUCCAAUCCGUUUUUGUUUAACUGCUACACAUUCCCUGACUCUGCCAAGGAAAAGGUAAAAAUACACUCAAAAUAGACAUCAUUAUAGCAAAUUUAAAAAUUAUUGUUCAAUUCUUUCUCUAAGUACAAAUAAGACUUUU
This is a long non-coding RNA of Anthonomus grandis grandis, 518 nucleotides long. RefSeq lists it as uncharacterized. The transcript is spliced from 3 exons. NCBI's taxonomy places the organism in Eukaryota, Metazoa, Arthropoda, Insecta, Coleoptera, Curculionidae. The record is from RefSeq and is a predicted model, not a curated record.